CGACUCGCUACGCGGCAGAUAGUAGUCGCUGGCAAAGCACGCUUCUCGGCAGCAGCCGCGAGAACAACGAGAGAGGGGGGAGAGAAAUAAAAAAAAUACAGAGAGGUAGAGAGGGAGACAGAGGUCAAAGAGCGGAGGAAAUUCGCUACACGUGUUCGCCGUUCGUUUUCCAUGGGAUACGAAGAAAAGGAAACAAAAGAGCGGAGAUUCAACGAAGAGGAGAUAUCGUGAAUCGAGUGGAUCGAGAUAAAAUGGCGGGACGGUAAACGAAAGAAAGUGGCUGGACGCAUCGCGUGUGACAGUAUAUCGUUGCGUGUCUCGUGCGGUCACAUGGCUCACGUGGUAGUCCGUGCCCCUUCCCUUCCUGACCGCAGGGAUUUCUAUGAUGGGUGGUGGGGAUGUCAACUGUGAUUGGAAGGGAUGUAGAAAAGGAGAAAUGGUAGACGAUUCUUAGGAUAGAAAAAGAGGAGAAAGAAGAGGAUAAAAAAGGAUAGAAAAAAGUCUAAGAAGACAUUGCUUCGACACCGAUAAUGAUCACGUGAGGCGAUGUACGCGUGACGCCGCGGUCUGACCGCAAGCUCGUUACGUCUGUCGGAAGUAUAAAUCAACCGCAAAGUUAUUCCGCCGUGCUGUCGGGAACUCCCCGUAGGGCGCCUCGUUGGAAACUGCUACCACCUUCUUGUCCGCGAUAUCGUUCGCGCAGAAGAUAGCGACCAGGAAAUGGAGAAAAGCCGAAAAAGCGAUAAUCAGCAGGCAAAACUGCAAGAGGAUAUUCUUAACUUCGAGAACGAAUUUAUUCUCGCGCAACUUCUGUUCCACGAUCGAGUUUAACAAAGUAUCUCGCGUUUCGCUCGUAUAAUAAAUAAAUAUUCCAACUCACUGGGAGCUCUUAUCUUUCAGCAAAAACCCCAUGAUCCUUCGAUAACCGCGACGCGAAACUUGCUGAUCUGCGAUCAAAUUAAUUGGAAUGAGCAUUUCUGCACAUUAAUAAAAAAUGUCCGCCAAAACAUGUCAGCUUCAGAACAUUAAUCACGAACGGAACAAAAAGAUAAAAAGAUAAUAUUAGUGCUAGUCGAUAACAGUGG
Mycetomoellerius zeteki is the source of this 1085-nucleotide long non-coding RNA. RefSeq lists it as uncharacterized. The record is from RefSeq and is a predicted model, not a curated record. Lineage: Eukaryota; Metazoa; Arthropoda; Insecta; Hymenoptera; Formicidae. The transcript has 3 exons.